RNAcentral lists this microRNA precursor (61 nucleotides) under Sphenodon punctatus (tuatara). RNAcentral describes it as "Spt-Mir-135-P1_pre stem-loop". It matches the Rfam family "mir-135 microRNA precursor family", at positions 17 to 74 of the family's 88-position model. Rfam says of the family: The hairpin precursors (represented here) are predicted based on base pairing and cross-species conservation -- their extents are not known. In this case the mature sequence is excised from the 5' arm of the hairpin. The record is from RNAcentral. Lineage: Eukaryota; Metazoa; Chordata; Lepidosauria; Sphenodontia; Sphenodontidae.
UAUGGCUUUUUAUUCCUAUGUGAUUAUCCUGCUCAUUUCAUAUAGGGAUUGAAGCCGUGCA